This 1081-nucleotide long non-coding RNA is filed under the name Physcomitrium patens. RNAcentral's name for it is "long non-coding RNA (PPAT_LNC007662)". Lineage: Eukaryota; Viridiplantae; Streptophyta; Bryopsida; Funariales; Funariaceae. The record is from RNAcentral.
GUCGCGCUUUAAUUUCUUUUCGAUUUAGAGUAAGAUGACUUAGCCCUCCCCCCCUCAGAAAUUAUUUCAAGUUGUGGUCGAUUUACGGUCGCUAUGUGAGAACAGAUGAUGCUACAAGUUUUCGAAGUUUUAUAUUUUUACUAUGUAUGUCAAACUUACAUGUUCAAAAUAAAAAGACGAAGAAGAGGAGAGGUUUGGAUUUAAGAAUUUGAAAAUUAUCGAAUUCGAAUCCUGACGGGAACCCAAAAUUAUUAAUAUACAGGAAAUUAUGAAAUCAUUGACUGGUAAUGUUGCACUAUUUCACUAUGACAUGCUCGGUUGUGUGAAAGUAAUGGAUUUAGAGCAAAACAUCUAGCUGCAAUAUCUGCAAUAGUUGGAGACAUCACAACUUCACAGCAGGGAUGACGCCAUUACACAGCGCAGACUGCCAGUGGGCAUUCUCCAGUCGAAUGGUGAGUGUAACACAGCCUGGAAAUUCAAGUUCAGAGUGAUGCAAUGAAUAGCACUAGGAAAAAUAGUUUAUACCAAGUCAUCAAAAGUAUGGCAUUGCACGUUCAAGCUUGGCAGCAUUUCAUAUUCACUGUGCAUACCUCUUACCACGGUUAAAUGCUAAAACAUACUGCAAUUUACAGGAAGAAAUCUGCAAGCGGAGCAAAAGAAAGGCUGGUUUAGGUGCUUGUGUCCACGAUGGUUCUACGUUUUCCCAUCUAGCACUCUGAAACUCUAAACUUAGAGAAGACGAAUUUGAUACGAGAAGUGUGGCUCUUAUGCUUCACAUUCAUAAUAUUUAGCUGUUUCUGUUAGCAGAUGAUGUUGUCUAAGUUGCAUUGACCGUGGACAGAAAAGAAAUUGUAAUCACCAUGUACCUGUCUAACCCCAAAAAUCAUCUGCAGACAAAGGACACUGUACGGGCACUAAUUUUCGUAGAAGUAGCAAAUUUAAAUGGCUCAAUGAAGGGUGCGAAGGCUUGUCCUCCACACAUAAUUGGCAAGUCGGUCUGCAAAACUGACAUAGAAUUGUUAGAAGGAAGAAGUAUGUAGCAUCUUCUGUUCUUCCACCAGUAUUUGAAAUGAUUGAGGGA